This 253-nucleotide ribosomal RNA is filed under the name uncultured bacterium. RNAcentral describes it as "partial 16S ribosomal RNA". It matches the Rfam family "Bacterial small subunit ribosomal RNA", at positions 524 to 776 of the family's 1533-position model. The record is from RNAcentral.
UACGGGGGGAGCAAGCGUUGUUCGGAAUCACUGGGCGUAAAGGGAGUCUAGGCGGUUUGGUAAGUGGGAUGUGAAAUGCCCGGGCUCACCCCGGGACCUGCAUCCCAAACUGCUGAGCUUGAGUACAGGAGAGGGUGGGGGAAUUCCAGGUGUAGCGGUGAAAUGCGUAGAUAUCUGGAGGAACACCGGUGGCGAAGGCGCCCACCUGGCCUGUUCUUGACGCUGAGGCGCGAAAGCUAGGGGAGCAAACGGG